This is an unclassified non-coding RNA of Vespa mandarinia (Asian giant hornet), 3910 nucleotides long. Lineage: Eukaryota; Metazoa; Arthropoda; Insecta; Hymenoptera; Vespidae. The record is from RefSeq and is a predicted model, not a curated record.
GAAUGAGCUUAACAUUCGAACUCAUAGAUUUUGGAUACUUUCCAUCGGAUCGACAUCGAGCAAGUUUCAAUGUUAAUACAUAUCCGAAGGGAUGAUACUGACUACCGAAGCAGUUCUCAACGGACGAGUGUCAGGUGCGCAUCCAAAGAAAAGAAAGGUUUCUUCGAGAUGCUUAAUUUGCAGUUUGUUAGUAUUCGUGAAAAUUUUAAUUUAAUGUCGAUUUGUUUACUGUAUAUUAAAGUUUAUAAUUUAGAAUUUUUAUAUACAAUCGAGUGAUUUCAAGUGAUAUAAUAGAUCGGUAUAAGUUUUUAUAAAUGUAAUUGUUACCUGUAUUGAGAUUAAAAAAUUAUAGUGAUUUAGAUAAGAAAAAGAUUGUGUAAUACUUUUGAACUACGUUAAAUACGUAUAAUGAAUAUGGAACUGGACAUAAGAACUAAAAACAAAAGUAUUUAAAAUAUAUAGAACAUAUCGUUAAAUCGAACGUUCACAUAAAAUCUUUUCACAAUUUCACGAUUGAGUUUAUAUUAAAUUUAGAAUAAUUUGCUAUUGGAUGAAAAUAGUAAAGUAAAUAAUUUGCAAUUACAUAACUGAACAGGAGUCAAUUAAAAUAUUCUAUGUCUACAUAUUUUGUUGCUACGUGGGUAUGAACGGUGCAGUAUGUACCGUUUGUGGUCAUAGCAUGAUAGCUACAUUAUAUCUUUUCUCUAAAGAAUGGGAUACAUUUGCAAAUGAUAAAGGGUAGUCUGACGUCACAAUUUAUUUAUGAAAUGGCAGGACUGUAUGUUACUUUACUAAGCACUAAAAUAUUAAUGUGCACUGUACUCCAUCAUAACGAUCGAUUAUGGUUGGAUUUCGAACUAUGCAAAUGUCAGCAUAUCGAAAUACCGAAAAGUUAAAAUUUAAGCGCAACGUAAAGGGAUUGAAUAACUAUAUGAAAUCAAAAGGGAAAACGAGAUUUUUUUAAAUGGAUAAAAGAUGACCGUCUCUUAUCAAUACGAAGUUGCCAGCUCCACGAGCGGAGGAUUUACCAGACUUCUGCUUAUGUGGAGGGGUUCGCUCUACAAGCUUAUUUACAGAGAACUUGUACUCUUUGUGAUUAUGUUCGCAUCACUCUCGGCUAUUUAUCGUCAUGCUUUGACCGAUUUACAAAAGAGGGAAUUUGAGAAAUUCGUAAUAUAUUGUGAUACGUUCAUUAACUUAAUUCCUCUUAGCUUCGUGCUAGGAUUUUACGUGUCCCACGUAGCUGAUAGAUGGUGGAAACAAUAUAAUGCGAUACCUUGGCCGGAUAAGGUUAUGCAUCUAGUGGCACUUUAUGUUAGCGGAGAUGAUGAAUACGGUCGUAUGUUACGGAGAGGUCUUAUGAGAUAUUUGAAUCUCUCUCUAAUACUUGUACUACGUUCCAUUAGUUCGGCGGUAAAAAGACGGUUUCCAACUCUCGAUCACGUGGUAGAUUCCGGUUUCAUGACUUCCUUGGAAUUAGAUUUAUUUCAAUCGGUACCAAGUCUCGAAUUCAAUACCUACUGGAUCCCAUGUACAUGGUUUAUCAAUCUGUUGAAGGAAGCACGUCGAAACCAUAGGUUGCCCGAUGCGCAAGGUUUAAAAAUAAUUAUGGAGGAAUUCAAUGAUUUUCGCUCUAAAUGUGGACUCUUAUGGAGUUAUGACUGGGUUUCCAUACCUUUGGUUUACACGCAGGUCGUGACCCUUGCAACGUACAGUUUCUUUGCAGUUGCACUUGUUGGUCGUCAAUAUAUCGAGGGAAAUCAAAAACAAUUUCAGCUAAAAGUUGACAUAUAUUGUCCUCUAUUUACGAUUCUACAAUUUUUUUUCUUCAUGGGUUUAUUAAAGGUAGCUGAACAAUUGAUAAAUCCUUUUGGCGACGAUGACGAGGAUUUCGAAUUGAAUUGGCUUAUUGAUCGUCAUGUCAAGGUAUCAUAUUUGGGCGUGGAUACUUUGAUGACUCGCUGUCCGCCUCUCGUAAAAGAUAUUUACUUUGAUGCAGAAAAUCUUAUCUUACCUUACACCGAAGCAGCAGCAGCUUACAAGAGAAAGACUUAUCGUGGCAGCGUUGCAGAUAUGCCGGUGCCAGAAGAAAAGCAAACAAUGUUCUUACCAGGAAUAUUAGAAGAAGAGGAAGAACCCAGAAACACACCUCGUACGUCGAGUGCUAGUUUAGUAACGCAUACUGACAGUCCAAUGACUGAAAAGCGCCAGAUUAGCGGGUCACCUCAAACAACUCCAUCGAUGGUUAGUAACUCUAGUGAAACGGUUCUUCAAUUAGAUAAUCAAGAACAGCAACAACAACAACAACAGUGCGAAGCUGAGCAAGGCGAUCAACAACGCAGGCGUUUGACUGGUGCGAUGAGAAAAUUUUCAGCUAUUGCUAGGCAUACGAAUCCACGAAUUGAGUCGAAUCGAAAGCCUUUCUUUGCAGCAAUAAAAACACCCAAGAUAUUGCUGCAACCUUGGCCGAGUGCCACCAACUUAUCAGGAAUAAACCGUCAUCGAGGUCCCGACACGCCCGCACCAUUUACUGCUCCUAAAAUACUAUGCGUCCCACCAGCUUUACAGAUUUCAUUUACCGACGAAGCCGAAGAUCAAGAGAAUCGCGAAGGCUUUGAUAACUCUGCUUUUUUUCAUGAAGACGUUGACGAUCGUUACAUAGAGGAUCAGGACGAUAAUACAAUGGAUAAGUUAAAGAACGUUAAACAAUUUGAACGAUUCGUUUUAGCGGAUACUUCGGAAUGUUCAGAUGCGCAACUAGAAGCGAUAGAUCUACAGCGUUUCAGAGAAACUAUAGAACAGAGAUCAGAAAGCUUUUCUAACUAUCUUCUUCAAAGACAGUGUUCUUCAACCGGAUCUAGCGAUAAGAAGGGUGUUCAUUGGAGAACAGAUGAGAGACGACCUUCGUUGCUGGCUCGUCGGAAGACCAUUCACAGCGUCCCAACUUCUCUGCAAAUCAUCAUACCACAAGCAAGGAGUUCACCGAACUUAACCAAUAUAAAAGUUGAAGAGAAAAAGGUAGAGAAGCUAGAUACUUCCGAUGAAUCUGAAAAGGAUACCAAAGUUUAAAUAUCGGUAUAAUUCAUAUAUACUACAUAUUUGUGAGUACGAUAAAAUAUUUUAAUUUUGAUCGGUUUUUCCCGCCAUUAUUUAUCUUGUGCGACGUUUAUAUACUGAUUUAAAUAGGCUAAGUAUUAAUAUUAAUCUCUCUUCUUAUAGCAUUUGAUACAUUUGACAAAUUUUCUGCAACAUCAUGAUCAUAAUCAACAUAGAUAGUAAUAUCUAUAAUGAAAACAAAACAGAUUUGAUCAAGUAAUAAAAAUAUAACAUCUUUAAUGCACAUAUUUAUGAUAUUAUAUUGCUAUAAACCAUGUUAUGAUGCUAUAAAUUUAUUAGAAAUUUGUAAUAACAUUUUAACAUAUUAAUUUAUUUAAUCGUUUUACUGUCGGCCAAGAUUUAAAUAUUUAUAAAGAUAUAUUUAUUAGUUUCCAUCUCAGUAUUAUUAUAAAAUGACUGUAUUAUUAUAAAUUAAUUAUUUCUAUAAUUUGUAUAUGAUUCAAUUUAUGAUUUUUUAAAUUGUAAACAAUAACUAUUUGGCGGAAGAAGCUGUGCGAUUAAUAUAUUCUAUAUUUGUUGAAUAAUAGUAGCAUUUUAGAAUAAAUACUUAUAAUUAUUUUCAAAACAUUGGGAAUUGUUAUGUAUAUAUUGUAAAUAUUAGACCCCUGAAUGUUUCUUUAAACACAAUAGAAUAUUUCGUCAUUGUUGAUUAACUUCAAGCAUUUAUCUUCUUAUUAUGUUCAUGAACCUUUUAUGUAAUAAUAAAGGCAUGGAUUCUAAUUUGAUAAUUUAUUGUAUGUAUAACAAUUAAUAUAUAAUAAGUGUUAGUAAAUAAAUAGUAGAUGCAACCAUU